CCAGACUCCUACGGGAGGCAGCAGUGGGGAAUAUUGCACAAUGGGGGAAACCCUGAUGCAGCGACGCCGCGUGAGUGAAGAAGUAUUUCGGUAUGUAAAGCUCUAUCAGCAGGGAAGAAAAACCGACCUUAGGGUCGCUAGACGGUACCUGAUUAAGAAGCCCCGGCUAACUACGUGCCAGCAGCCGCGGUAAUACGUAGGGAGCGAGCGUUGUCCGGAUUUACUGGGUGUAAAGGGUGCGUAGGCGGCUAUGCAAGUCAGUAGUGAAAUCCAUGGGCUUAACCCAUGAACUGCUAUUGAAACUGCACAGCUUGAGUGAAGUAGAGGGAGGCGGA
This 335-nucleotide ribosomal RNA is filed under the name uncultured bacterium. RNAcentral's name for it is "partial 16S ribosomal RNA". It matches the Rfam family "Bacterial small subunit ribosomal RNA", at positions 331 to 665 of the family's 1533-position model. The record is from RNAcentral.